This 253-nucleotide ribosomal RNA is filed under the name uncultured bacterium. Its description in RNAcentral is "partial 16S ribosomal RNA". It matches the Rfam family "Bacterial small subunit ribosomal RNA", at positions 524 to 776 of the family's 1533-position model. The record is from RNAcentral.
UACGGAGGGGGCUAGCGUUGUUCGGCAUUACUGGGCGUAAAGCGGGUGUAGGGGGAUCACUAAGUCAGGGGUGAAAGCCCGGGGCUCAACCCCGGAACUGCACUUGAAACUGCAUGGCUAGAAUCCUGGAGAGGUCGGGAGAAUUCCGAGUGUAGAGGUGAAAUUCGCAGAUAUUCGGAGGAAUACCAGUGGCGUAGGCGCCCGACUGGACAGGUAUUGACGCUCAGGCACGAAAGCGUGGGGAGCAAACAGG